This 153-nucleotide ribosomal RNA is filed under the name uncultured bacterium. RNAcentral's name for it is "partial 16S ribosomal RNA". It matches the Rfam family "Bacterial small subunit ribosomal RNA", at positions 363 to 509 of the family's 1533-position model. The record is from RNAcentral.
UCUCCACAUGGACGAAAGUCUGAUGGAGCAACGCCGCGUGAGUGAAGAAGGGUUUCGGCUCGUAAAGCUCUGUUGGUAGUGAAGAAAGAUAGAGGUAGUAACUGGCCUUUAUUUGACGGUAAUUACUUAGAAAGUCACGGCUAACUACGUGCC